UUAUGCAUAAAGUGAAAAGAGAGCCAAAACGCUCUUAACUCAAUUAUGAAAUAUUUGAUUACUACUCUUGAUGUCACAAAGAAUAGUUUAUUUAGUAUUUAUAGGCAAAGAAAUCAAUGAUAAGUUACAACACAAUAAUUACAAUUGUAACUUCCACAAUAACUAGACUAAUUAUAGGCAUGUAAUUGUUAUGUAACUUCAAUCUUAACCAACACCACUAAUUGUUUGUGCCAUCAUAUAGUUAUUGAUUCAUUUUUAUAAUAACACUAAGAUAAGACUUAAGCGCAAAUGAGUUACAUUUGACUAUAUGGGCUUAAUUAACUCAAACUAAAAUAAAACAAUGCAAAAUAAUUAAAAUAACUUAACUAAUCCAGUUCAUACACAAGACUUAUUCACCCAUUACCAAUAAGAUUCAAACAACCCCAAAUUAUUUCAAAUCAUUUAAACCCAAUUAAAAUUACGAAUGUGGGCUGUUCAAAAAGCUUAUAUUUGAACUUUUCACAAUUGACCAGCUCAUCAUCUACAUGUUUUUGAGUGAAAACUUGGAGUAACUCUUUAAUCUUUUUUGCCUUUGAUCUCGUUACUGGUCCACUGAAACUUUCCAGAUUUGGAACUUUAUUUGUAUUUACGUCAUUUGAAAUUUACUUCAAGUCACUUUUUGAUACUCUUUGAGUAUUUUGAGUAUUUUUAAACUUAUUUGCAUCACUGCGCAUAGCUGAAAAGAAAGAAAACUGAUUGCGUCUCUGCGUGCGGUGGAAGAAGGAAUUGGGCCGCGCGGCUCUGCGCACGGUGGAGGAAGAAACCAGGUUACCAUUUGUGCGGCUCUGCACGCAGUGGAGGAAGGAUCCAGCUGCCUUCUCCCUUCCUCUGAUCUUUCC
This 878-nucleotide long non-coding RNA is filed under the name Carica papaya (papaya). RNAcentral's name for it is "long non-coding RNA (CPAP_LNC016322)". The record is from RNAcentral. Lineage: Eukaryota; Viridiplantae; Streptophyta; Magnoliopsida; Brassicales; Caricaceae.